Molecule: unclassified non-coding RNA, 258 nt
Filed under: Pseudomonas costantinii
Lineage: Bacteria; Pseudomonadati; Pseudomonadota; Gammaproteobacteria; Pseudomonadales; Pseudomonadaceae
Description: Pseudomonas sRNA P17
Rfam family: Pseudomonas sRNA P17 (bases 1-196)
Source: RNAcentral
GUAAAGAACAAGUGGCGCGGUCCAGUGACUACCUCGAUGGGCAAUUGACCUUUCGUGAGCGUCUGCUGGUGCGCCAUCACUUGAUGUUCUGCCCUAACUGCCGGCGUUUUAUCCGUCAGAUGCGCCUGAUGCAGGCGACGCUGAAGAUCAUGCCGCAAGAGCCGGUAAAGGAGGCUGAUGCCUUGGCUGAGCGGCUGGCUGCCGAACGGCUGAAGGAUCUGUAAAGGCGGGAUAAAGACAGACUCGCGUGGGUGAGUC